UAAGGAAUAUUGGUCAAUGGACGAAAGUCUAAACCAGCCAUGCCGCGUGAAGGAUGAAGGUCCUCUGGAUUGUAAACUUCUUUUAUCUGGGACGAAAAAAGGGAAUUCUUUCUCACUUGACGGUACCAGAAGAAUAAGCACCGGCUAACUCCGUGCCAGCAGCCGCGGUAAUACGGAGGGUGCAAGCGUUAUCCGGAUUCACUGGGUUUAAAGGGUGCGUAGGUGGGCAGUUAAGUCAGUGGUGAAAUCUCCGGGCUUAACCUGGAAACUGCCAUUGAUACUAUCUGUCUUGAAUACUCUAAAGAUAAGCGAAAUAUGUCAUGUAGCGGUGAAAUACUUAGAUAUGACAUAGAACACCGAUUGCAAAGGCAGCUUACUACGGAGUCAUUGACACUGAGGCAC
Molecule: ribosomal RNA, 402 nt
Filed under: uncultured bacterium
Lineage: Bacteria
Description: bacterial SSU rRNA
Rfam family: Bacterial small subunit ribosomal RNA
Source: RNAcentral